GGGGAUAUAUAGCUCAGUUGAUAUAGUAUUUGCCUCGCACGCAUAAGGCCCUGGAUUCAAUCCCCAGCCCCA
This 72-nucleotide transfer RNA is filed under the name Marmota monax (woodchuck). Its description in RNAcentral is "tRNA.Ala". Lineage: Eukaryota; Metazoa; Chordata; Mammalia; Rodentia; Sciuridae. The record is from RNAcentral.